AGAGUUGGUCGGGUGACUACUCCGGUCUAUCAGUCCCAAAGGAAUCACUAUGGAGCUGGUUGAUCGGGGAGGAAAGUCCGAGCACCACAGAGCAAGAUGCCUCCUAACGGGAGGGGUCCCGACAUCUGAGAUGUCAGGAUACGGAAAGUGCAACAGAAAAGAUACCGUCCCGACACUUCGGGAUAAGGGUGAAAUGGUGGUGUAAGAGACCACCAGCCUUGACAGCAAUGUCAGGGGCUCUGUAAACCCCAUCCGGUGCAAGAUCAAGCAGCCCCAAUCCGCCAAAUUGGCGGACCCCGACUCUAUCGGGGGAUGUUGCUCGCAUUAUUGUCCCGAAACUUCGGGACUGAAGGGGCGGGUAGAUCGCUUGAUCCCGAUCGUGAGUUCGGGACCAGAUAAAUGGUCACCAUCCCGAAAAUUCGGGGGACAAAACUCGGCUUAUAGACCAACUCUGAUC
RNAcentral lists this RNase P RNA (457 nucleotides) under Fidelibacterota bacterium. RNAcentral describes it as "RNase P RNA component class A". It matches the Rfam family "Bacterial RNase P class A". From Rfam's summary of the family: Ribonuclease P (RNase P) is a ubiquitous endoribonuclease, found in archaea, bacteria and eukarya as well as chloroplasts and mitochondria. Its best characterised activity is the generation of mature 5'-ends of tRNAs by cleaving the 5'-leader elements of precursor-tRNAs. Cellular RNase Ps are ribonucleoproteins. Lineage: Bacteria; Pseudomonadati; Fidelibacterota. The record is from RNAcentral.